CCCAUUAAAAAAAAAAGAAAAGAAAGGGAUAACGGGCCGGCCCGAAAAGACCGGGUCCGUCUCCCUUUUACGAUCGUGCCCUAGGCACGAUCGUGGAUGGAGGGCGCUUGAGGGGAGGGGGCGGCGGCGUUGGAGAGGGCUCGCCGGAGGGAUUUGAGCGCCGGAGGGAGGAACCGGCCGGCCGCGGAGGAAGCCGGAAGCUUUUCCCUCCCUCGGUGAAGAUCCCCCACAAAUCAGGGGAAGAAGUCUCGGAUCCGUGCGUGAAAACCCAAGACCCUCCUCCGAUUCCUCGCCGGAAAGUCGUCGGAACACCCUCAUCGGGCCGAGGUAAGCAUGGCUUCGUCCUUUGCAUGUUAUUUGCCUGGUUUUGGGUUGGGUUUCCUGGGUUAUGGCUGACGGAAUCACCGAAGAAGGAUCUGAAACAGGGUACCCCUGUUUCGGCUCCUCUCCUCCGGAUUUUGCCGCCGCCCGCUGCCGGGAUUGGCCGGGAUCCAUGGUUUUGGGCGUCGAUCGGGUUUUAUGGAGAUGGGUGAGGGAUUUUCUAGGGUUUUAUUGGGGGAUGGGGGAUGGUGGACCGAGGGCGUCCCGCACGGUUCCACCUCCUUCUUCUCUCCCUCUCGCGUCGGCUGGCCACCGGCGGCGACAGCGGCGGCGGUCGGGGGCCACGGAGGAGACAGUGGUGUCAGGAGGUUUUGAUCAGGGGACUCAGCACCCCAGCUCGUAGAUUGUGAUCCGGAUCCGUAUUUGAGUCAGUCCACAAAUUUCUAGGCACUAGAUUUGUAGAGAUCCAUUGGGUGGGACGAGAAAUAAGAUCAGCAUGGAGUCUGAUUGCUGGAUAGAUAGAAGUUAAUCUAUUCUUUUAUUUAUGGACAUUUGAAAUUAUGUAAUAAAUCAGUACAUUUUAGUUGGAUUUGAUUGAAUUACAUUAAUCUUUGAUUUUGGCAUAUAUGUGAAUAUUGUACCUUUUAGGCCUUGCAUGAUCUUUAGGGCACUGCUCUAGGGCUCAUGCGGCCGGUCGCGUGCCGGACCCGGGUGAUGGGUUCGGGGCGUGACAGAGUGGUAUCAGAGCUUAAGGUUAAGGUAUCCUAGGGUUUAUGUUCAAGUGAGUAUCAGUGGAGAAUUAUGAUAGAAAAACUAUCAGAGAUUUGGUUUAUAAUCACUUGAG
RNAcentral lists this long non-coding RNA (1165 nucleotides) under Phoenix dactylifera (date palm). RNAcentral's name for it is "long non-coding RNA (PDAC_LNC014224)". The record is from RNAcentral. Lineage: Eukaryota; Viridiplantae; Streptophyta; Magnoliopsida; Arecales; Arecaceae.